CGGACGGGUGAGUAACGCGUGGGUAACCUGCCUCAUACAGGGGGAUAACAGUUGGAAACGACCGCUAAUACCGCAUAAGCGCACAGGAUCGCAUGAUCCGGUGUGAAAAACUCCGGUGGUAUGAGAUGGACCCGCGUCUGAUUAGCCAGUUGGCAGGGUAACGGCCUACCAAAGCGACGAUCAGUAGCCGACCUGAGAGGGUGACCGGCCACAUUGGGACUGAGACACGGCCCAA
This 235-nucleotide ribosomal RNA is filed under the name uncultured bacterium. RNAcentral describes it as "partial 16S ribosomal RNA". It matches the Rfam family "Bacterial small subunit ribosomal RNA", at positions 99 to 334 of the family's 1533-position model. The record is from RNAcentral.